RNAcentral lists this long non-coding RNA (241 nucleotides) under Mytilus galloprovincialis (Mediterranean mussel). The record is from RNAcentral. Lineage: Eukaryota; Metazoa; Mollusca; Bivalvia; Mytilida; Mytilidae.
UCUAACAAAUGACAUAUCUGCUCCAUUUUUACUUUUUGUACAGGGGUUAAGAAACAUACAGAGUAUUUUUCUAUAUUAAUCCAAUAUUUUAAAUAUUCUACCCCACCAUAUUUUGUGGGGAUAUGCUCUUACAUCUACAUUUGUAUAUAUAAUAUUUGAAUAACAACACAAUAUUGUUAACUGUUUUACUGUUAACAAAAUCCUCAGACACACCUAACAUGACUUCUUUUGCACUGAAAGG